This 482-nucleotide ribosomal RNA is filed under the name uncultured bacterium. RNAcentral's name for it is "partial 16S ribosomal RNA". It matches the Rfam family "Bacterial small subunit ribosomal RNA", at positions 28 to 507 of the family's 1533-position model. The record is from RNAcentral.
GACGAACGCUGGCGGCGUGCUUAACACAUGCAAGUCGAACGGAAAGGCCCUGCUUUUGUGGGGUGCUCGAGUGGCGAACGGGUGAGUAACACGUGAGUAACCUGCCCUUGACUUUGGGAUAACUUCAGGAAACUGGGGCUAAUACCGGAUAGGAGCUCCUGCUGCAUGGUGGGGGUUGGAAAGUUUCGGCGGUUGGGGAUGGACUCGCGGCUUAUCAGCUUGUUGGUGGGGUAAUGGCCUACCAAGGCGGCGACGGGUAGCCGGCCUGAGAGGGUGGACGGCCACAUUGGGACUGAGAUACGGCCCAGACUCCUACGGGAGGCAGCAGUGGGGAAUAUUGCACAAUGGGCGGAAGCCUGAUGCAGCGACGCCGCGUGGGGGAUGACGGCCUUCGGGUUGUAAACUCCUUUCGACCGCGAGGAAGCCACCUGGUUGGAAGGGUGGUGACGGUAGUGGUAGAAGAAGCACCGGCUAACUACGUG